Molecule: ribosomal RNA, 430 nt
Filed under: Pseudomonadota bacterium
Lineage: Bacteria; Pseudomonadati; Pseudomonadota
Description: Proteobacteria bacterium partial 16S ribosomal RNA
Rfam family: Bacterial small subunit ribosomal RNA
Source: RNAcentral
UGGGGAAUAUUGGACAAUGGGGGGAACCCUGAUCCAGCCAUGCCGCGUGUGUGAAGAAGGCCUUAUGGUUGUAAAGCACUUUAAGCGAGGAGGAGGGUACUGGUAUUAAUACUACCAGGUACUGGACGUUACUCGCAGAAUAAGCACCGGCUAACUCUGUGCCAGCAGCCGCGGUAAUACAGAGGGUGCAAGCGUUAAUCGGAAUUACUGGACGUAAAGCGCGCGUAGGUGGUUCGUUAAGUUGAAUGUGAAAGCCCCGGGCUCAACCUGGGAACUGCAUCCAAAACUGGCGAGCUAGAGUAGGGCAGAGGGUGGUGGAAUUUCCUGUGUAGCGGUGAAAUGCGUAGAUAUAGGAAGGAACACCAGUGGCGAAGGCGACCACCUGGGCUCAUACUGACACUGAGGUGCGAAAGCGUGGGGAGCAAACAGG